This is a long non-coding RNA of Prionailurus viverrinus (fishing cat), 182 nucleotides long. RefSeq lists it as uncharacterized. The record is from RefSeq and is a predicted model, not a curated record. The transcript is spliced from 3 exons. Lineage: Eukaryota; Metazoa; Chordata; Mammalia; Carnivora; Felidae.
UUGAAGUGACAAAAAAUACACUGGUGCCAGCUGUGGGCACCUUCCAACAUUCUGAAAAAUCACUGAUUUCUGCCAAACACCACAGCCCGAGACUGAGCAUCUGAGCGUGGGAGAUGAUCACCCCAAUCCCGCAACAGAGAGAGAGAGAGAAACCAUUGUCUCAGUUAUACACAUCUGACUCU